This 654-nucleotide long non-coding RNA is filed under the name Sus scrofa (pig). Its description in RNAcentral is "lncRNA (ENSSSCG00015080277.1)". Lineage: Eukaryota; Metazoa; Chordata; Mammalia; Artiodactyla; Suidae. The record is from RNAcentral.
UUCUUGCCCUUGCUGGGCUCCCGGGCAGUUAUGACGGCUGUUACAGGAGAGGAGCGCACAGGAAGAAAUGCCUCAUUGCGGGAAUAAGGGAGGCCUGGCAAAGAGAUCCAGCUAGGGACUGGCCCAUAAAUAGCCAGGAUGACAGACCAAGGGAGAGGCACCCAGCUGGCCUCUGGAAGGGAGUUUUUCUGGGGCCUCUCCUGCAGUGAAAACCUCCCCGGAGUCCCUGAAGCUGUGCUGGAGGAUGAGUACAGUGGACAGGACGUGAGAUGGACUGCAUUUCUCAGGUCAUGUGACUGAAUUCUGGUCCAAGGAAUGUGCCUGCCUCAGUGUGUGGCUCGACAAACCGCCCAUGCUCUUCCCUAAGGGCUCUCUCUUCCCAACCCAGCUGGCUGGAUGCAGAGGAUCCAGCAGACGAUGCUGAGCUCCUAGGAGAUGGCGACAGAGCCACACAACGGAAGCCUGACAGCCUGGACCACCUCUCCCUAAACCGCACGGCACUGGACUAUGUUGUGAACCAAAAAAUAAGCCUUUGUUUUGUUAAGCCACUGAGAUUCGGGGUUUGUUAUUCAUACGCAGUGAUUCUUCCUCACUGAUACAAAUAUUUAGAUGUGCUCAAGGUUAUCCGAGAAAAGCAAAAUAAAAAAAGGAUAC